RNAcentral lists this ribosomal RNA (619 nucleotides) under uncultured low G+C Gram-positive bacterium. RNAcentral describes it as "bacterial SSU rRNA". It matches the Rfam family "Bacterial small subunit ribosomal RNA", at positions 36 to 628 of the family's 1533-position model. The record is from RNAcentral. Lineage: Bacteria; Bacillati; Bacillota.
CUGGCGGCGUGCCUAAUACAUGCAAGUCGAACGCUUCUUUCCUCCCGAGUGCUUGCACUCAAUUGGAAAGAGGAGUGGCGGACGGGUGAGUAACACGUGGGUAACCUACCCAUCAGAGGGGGAUAACACUUGGAAACAGGUGCUAAUACCGCAUAACAGUUUAUGCCGCAUGGCAUAAGAGUGAAAGGCGCUUUCGGGUGUCGCUGAUGGAUGGACCCGCGGUGCAUUAGCUAGUUGGUGAGGUAACGGCUCACCAAGGCCACGAUGCAUAGCCGACCUGAGAGGGUGAUCGGCCACACUGGGACUGAGACACGGCCCAGACUCCUACGGGAGGCAGCAGUAGGGAAUCUUCGGCAAUGGACGAAAGUCUGACCGAGCAACGCCGCGUGAGUGAAGAAGGUUUUCGGAUCGUAAAACUCUGUUGUUAGAGAAGAACAAGGACGUUAGUAACUGAACGUCCCCUGACGGUAUCUAACCAGAAAGCCACGGCUAACUACGUGCCAGCAGCCGCGGUAAUACGUAGGUGGCAAGCGUUGUCCGGAUUUAUUGGGCGUAAAGCGAGCGCAGGCGGUUUCUUAAGUCUGAUGUGAAAGCCCCGGCUCAACGGGGAGGGUCAUUG